This 503-nucleotide ribosomal RNA is filed under the name uncultured bacterium. RNAcentral's name for it is "partial 16S ribosomal RNA". It matches the Rfam family "Bacterial small subunit ribosomal RNA", at positions 30 to 523 of the family's 1533-position model. The record is from RNAcentral.
AUUGAACGCUGGCGGCAGGCUUAACACAUGCAAGUCGAGCGGGGUGAUGGUGCUUGCACUAUCACUUAGCGGCGGACGGGUGAGUAAUGCUUAGGAAUCUGCCUAUUAGUGGGGGACAACAUCUCGAAAGGGAUGCUAAUACCGCAUACGUCCUACGGGAGAAAGCAGGGGAUCACUUGUGACCUUGCGCUAAUAGAUGAGCCUAAGUCGGAUUAGCUAGUUGGUGGGGUAAAGGCCUACCAAGGCGGCGAUCUGUAGCGGGUCUGAGAGGAUGAACCGCCACACUGGGACUGAGACACGGCCCAGACUCCUACGGGAGGCAGCAGUGGGGAAUAUUGGACAAUGGGGGGAACCCUGAUCCAUCCAUGCCGCGUGUGUGAAGAAGGCCUUAUGGUUGUAAAGCACUUUAAGCGAGGAGGAGGCUCUUUUGGUUAAUACCCAAGAUGAGUGGACGUUACUCGCAGAAUAAGCACCGGCUAACUCUGUGCCAGCCGCCGCGGUAA